RNAcentral lists this ribosomal RNA (301 nucleotides) under uncultured bacterium. RNAcentral's name for it is "partial 16S ribosomal RNA". It matches the Rfam family "Bacterial small subunit ribosomal RNA", at positions 509 to 807 of the family's 1533-position model. The record is from RNAcentral.
CAGCCGCCGCGGGAAUACGAAGGGGGCUAGCGUUGUUCGGAUUUACUGGGCGUAAAGCGCACGCAGGCGGAUCGAUCAGUCAGGGGUGAAAUCCCAGAGCUCAACUCUGGAACUGCCUUUGAUACUGUCGAUCUGGAGUAUGGAAGAGGUGAGUGGAAUUCCGAGUGUAGAGGUGAAAUUCGUAGAUAUUCGGAGGAACACCAGUGGCGAAGGCGGCUCACUGGUCCAUUACUGACGCUGAGGUGCGAAAGCGUGGGGAGCAAACAGGAUUAGAUACCCCUGUAGUCCCUGUCUCUUAUAC